Molecule: non-coding RNA, 225 nt
Organism: Pelobates cultripes (western spadefoot toad)
Lineage: Eukaryota; Metazoa; Chordata; Amphibia; Anura; Pelobatidae
Source: the annotation of a GenBank genome assembly
GUCAAAUAUGUAACAUAGUGUACAUGUAUGUAGCAACUGGCAUGAGUGUAAACCCAUACACAUGUUGUGUAUGUCCCAGUGAGGCUGUAUGUACACACAGCCUGGUGCUGGUUAGAGCUCACCAUGACAGAGGGGAAGGGGCACAAAGAACAGCCUGGAGUAAUGGAUAGGGGGAGGGGUGCUCAUUCUGUUAGCAGGACUCUGAGUCCUGGCUUCAUACACAGG